CACCGAGUUGGAUGCUGCGUUCAAAGGCAGACGUAAACUCCUGGAAUAAGGGCCGUCGCUGCGUGUGUGUCCCAAUCCAACAUUAACAAACCCCCAAGACAAGUAUUUUCAUGCUGCUAUUAAGCAACAACGAGUUUACAAAACCACAUGUAAAGAAGAUGAACCGCAGGGCUACGUGGAUGUUUUAAUGUUUUCAUUUUCAGUCAGUGGGUUCAAACACUUAAUACAUAUUUUGCCCGGAUUCGGGGUCAAAGGUCACUUCAGUAUUGUUGCCGCGUAGAAACAAAGAAAAUAAUAAAAAAAAUACCUGAAAUAAGAGAAACAUAGGUGUAAUGUAUCCCGAACACGGGAAAACGUCUACCUGUACUGCAUCCACCAAUGAGCUUCCAGUUCACUUUCCUACCUUAUAUGGUCAGAGAUCAGACAGAGAAAGAAGAGUUCUGCAGAAUAGAGGAGGCUGCAGAGUGGGGAGGUGGGUGGAGGUGUGGUCUGGAGCGGAGAUCCUCUUCCUGCAGUGUGAAAUUUCUGUUUAAACCCAGUCAUUACCCGGAGCCCUGUUGUUUCAGUCACACAUCAAACAUUGGCUGACUGCGUGUAAUAGCAUGAAUAGAACCGGAGGACUACUAGCAUUACAAGACGUGCACAUAGGUUUAUCCCUGUAGAAAAUGUAACAUAACAAAUAAAUGUGUGAUUUUUUUAUGCGAUUAUAGGACGAAGCCUGUUGCAGUCAGUAUGCACUGUAUGGAGACGGUUUAGUUUUUUACUUACUAUGUGAAAAAAGUAAUUCAUUUAAAUAGACUGUUUUAAAUAUUUAUAUAUCAUUACGUUCAAAGGUUUGACUACUGGACAGAAGAUGUCUGCUGCUUUCCCAAUGUUCCAGCAAAUAUUGAAUAAUAUUUGCUGGAACAUUCAAGUUUACAUUGCCUUACGUGAUUAUGAUUUAAUAUUAGAUUUAGAUCAGAUGAAGAAGCAGUAAGUAAAUGUGAUUAUAACAGCGGUUGUAGAUCCGGCGCACGCCUCUGGUUCCAAGUAAAAGCUGUAAGGUGACAUGGGAGUUGUUAAAGCUUGCAUCUGAGCAGCUUCUGCGUUCCUUUCGCUCCGUCAUCAUCCUGUUGGCUCAUAUUUGCAGCCUUCACACAGAACGCAGCCUCACUCCAGGUGAAGCUGACUGCAGACCAGGGAAAUAUAUACAUACAUAUCAAUCAUCAUUAUCUAAGGGAAAAAGGGGCUCAUUUUUCCAACAUGCCAGUGUUGCAUGUGGCAAAACUAGAAUGACUGUGUUUUAAAUCCGUUAAACUCUGCAUGAUCCCUUUUGUUCCUACUUAAAACAGGAGCAAAAGCAGAGUCUGGUCAAGUCACGUCUUGUCGUGCUGGUAAUUGUGGUAAAUAUCAGCGAGGGUGAAAGUAGGGAGGCAGCACGAGGAAGAGACAGAUACGACUGUUGUCAGAGGCUGUGCAUUAAAGCUUAUUCAUGCAAGUUUGGGCACGUCUUCAUGUUACCAGAUGAAAACGUUCUACCUGCUGCCUCAGCACAACACGCAGAUGAUUCAGAUGCUGCGUUACAACGCUAACCUGCAGCCACCGGGGCAGCGCUGAGGGAGUGCUGCUCCCUGCUGUGGACAACACUGGAACUGAGUGUGUGUGGGUGAGAUUACUGCCGGUGCAGGUAUGACGUGAAUAAUGGAGGUCAUCUGACGCUCACAGAUGCUGUUAGUGUCCUCUGAAAAACAUUGACCCCAAGUCAGUAAAGUGGAAUGUUCUUUGUGAAAGUGAGAAUUCAACAUUCAUCUAUUAUAAAUAUCAUCUAGUGUCAUUACAUCACUUUAAUAUCUCCAAUAAUUAAUAAAUCCCAGUAACUGUGUCUUAUCACCAAAGAAACCAAAAGACAUGAGAACUUUUUAUGAGUUUUUAUUUAUUUAUGUCAUUUUUAAGUGUUUUAUUAUUUUUUUCUCCAAAAAAAUCCUGAGGUAUUCACAAUAUAAUGGCAUUUAUUCUUUUUGAAAUGAGACUGGGGGGUGGGGGAUAAAAUACAGCCUGAAAGAAAAAGGCAGUAAAGCUGUGUUGAUUGAUACAACUGUCAGACAACAAAUCCACGGUGACGUACAUACAAGAAGCCUCUGAUCUGUAACAGUGGUGACUAAAGACGAGCCCCCCCCCCCCCCGCAAACCAGCAAACU
Long non-coding RNA from Betta splendens (Siamese fighting fish), 2177 nucleotides. RefSeq lists it as uncharacterized. The transcript is spliced from 2 exons. The record is from RefSeq and is a predicted model, not a curated record. NCBI's taxonomy places the organism in Eukaryota, Metazoa, Chordata, Actinopteri, Anabantiformes, Osphronemidae.